Molecule: unclassified non-coding RNA, 145 nt
Filed under: soil metagenome
Description: partial internal transcribed spacer 1
Source: RNAcentral
UAAUAAGUGUUUUAUGGCACUUUUUAAUCCAUAUCCACCUUGUGUGCAAUGUCAGUCGAUCUUCUUUCAUGGAGAUCGACCAACAUCAACCAUUAUCUUUUUAACUCUUUGUCUGAAAAAUAUUAUGAAUAAACAAUUCAAAAUA